RNAcentral lists this ribosomal RNA (579 nucleotides) under Bolma girgyllus. RNAcentral's name for it is "partial 16S ribosomal RNA". It matches the Rfam family "Bacterial large subunit ribosomal RNA", at positions 1816 to 2597 of the family's 2925-position model. The record is from RNAcentral. Lineage: Eukaryota; Metazoa; Mollusca; Gastropoda; Trochida; Turbinidae.
CGCUCUUUGAAUAUUUCUUGACUGGAAAUUUAGAUUAUAAAGAGUCGGACCUGCCCAGUGACUGAAUUGUUAAACGGCCGCGGUACUCUGACCGUGCAAAGGUAGCAUAAUCAUUUGCCUUUUAAUUGGAGGCUUGUAUGAAUGGUUUGACGAAAACUAGACUGUCUCCCCUUAAAUAUAAAAAAAUUAAUUUCUAGGUGAAGAAGCCUAGUAUUUAGCUGAGGGACAAGAAGACCCCGUUGAGCUUUAGUAACCUAGUACAACAAUUAUUUUAAUAUAUUAAUACAUUAUGUAUUAUUUUAUAAACAUUAUUAUGUAAAUAUUAUGUACUAGAAAUCUUUAGUUGGGGCGACUGAGGAGUAUGAAAAGCUUCCUUUAACUAUAUAUUUUAAGGUAUUCAAAUUAAAAUCAAUAGAUCCAGUAUUUACUGAUCAAAGAAAAAAGUUACCACGGGGAUAACAGCGUAAUCUUUCUAGAGAGUUCUUAUCGAAGGAAGGGUUUGCGACCUCGAUGUUGGACUAAGGUAUCCUAGAGAUGCAGCAGUUUCUAAUGGUUAGUCUGUUCGACUAUUAAAACCUU